GAAUGUGUAGAACAACAUCCUUAGAACCCAUGCGGAUAUAGUUUUCAUAUAAUUCAUCUCCUUGACCAAAAUGAUCAUAGGAUACCCCAGAGUUCAACUGUCAACUCUGAUCAGGUUGUCCACAUUGUAUUUCAAAAUAUCAAAUCCAUCUGAUGGAUUACCCUGGCCAAGGUUUUGCUAAAUUGAAAUACAGCGACUCAUUCUUCUCCAACUCUUGGAGUGGUCAAUCCCAUCUCGAUCACACUCUGACUUCGCAAGUAUU
RNAcentral lists this long non-coding RNA (262 nucleotides) under Elaeis guineensis (African oil palm). Its description in RNAcentral is "long non-coding RNA (EGUI_LNC056383)". Lineage: Eukaryota; Viridiplantae; Streptophyta; Magnoliopsida; Arecales; Arecaceae. The record is from RNAcentral.